GCUUAAUAUUAAUUUCUUAUUUAAUAAAAUUUUAUUUAAUAUAAAUGUUUGGUAAUAAUUUUUAUUUUAUUGGGGUGAUAAUGGUAAAAUGAUCAAUAACUGUUAAUUUUAUUUAAACAAAGAUAAAUGAUUAAAAACUUAUAAUUAAUAAAUGAUCCUAUUUAAAGAUUUAAAGUUUAAGUU
This 183-nucleotide ribosomal RNA is filed under the name Parasesarma affine. RNAcentral describes it as "partial 16S ribosomal RNA". The record is from RNAcentral. Lineage: Eukaryota; Metazoa; Arthropoda; Malacostraca; Decapoda; Sesarmidae.